ACGGAAGGCACAGUGGGGAAUAUUGCACAAUGGGCGCAAGCCUGAUGCAGCAACGCCGCGUGAGGGACGACGGCCUUCGGGUUGUAAACCUCUUUUAGCAGGGAAGAAGCGAAAGUGACGGUACCUGCAGAAAAAGCACCGGCUAACUACGUGCCAGCAGCCGCGGUAAUACGUAGGGUGCAAGCGUUGUCCGGAAUUAUUGGGCGUAAAGAGCUCGUAGGCGGUUUGUCGCGUCUGCUGUGAAAACGCGAGGCUCAACCUCGCGCCUGCAGUGGGUACGGGCAAACUAGAGUGCGGUAGGGGAGAUUGGAAUUCCUGGUGUAGCGGUGGAAUGCGCAGAUAUCAGGAGGAACACCAAUGGCGAAGGCAGAUCUCUGGGCCGUAACUGACGCUGAGGAGCGAAAGCAUGGGGAGCGAACAGGAUUAGAUACCCUGGUAGUCCAUGCCGUAAACGUUGGGAACUAGAUGUAGGGACCAUUCCACGGUUUCUGUGUCGCAGCUAACGCAUUAAGUUCCCCGCCUGGGGAGUACGGUCGCAAGACUAAAACUCAAAGGAAUUGACGGGGGCCCGCACAAGCGGCGGAGCAUGCGGAUUAAUUCGAUGCAACGCGAAGAACCUUACCAAGGCUUGACAUAUAGAGGAAACGUGCAGAAAUGUACGCCCCGCAAGGUCUCUAUACAGGUGGUGCAUGGUUGUCGUCAGCUCGUGUCGUGAGAUGUGGGUUAA
RNAcentral lists this ribosomal RNA (727 nucleotides) under Gram-positive bacterium LCm-11. RNAcentral's name for it is "bacterial SSU rRNA". It matches the Rfam family "Bacterial small subunit ribosomal RNA", at positions 341 to 1083 of the family's 1533-position model. The record is from RNAcentral.